ACGUACACUCCUACGGGAGGCAGCAGUGGGGAAUAUUGCACAAUGGGCGCAAGCCUGAUGCAGCCAUGCCGCGUGUGUGAAGAAGGCCUUCGGGUUGUAAAGCACUUUCAGCGUGGAGGAAGGCAAUGCGGUUAAUAACCGUGUUGAUUGACGUUACCCGCAGAAGAAGCACCGGCUAACUCCGUGCCAGCAGCCGCGGUAAUACGGAGGGUGCAAGCGUUAAUCGGAAUUACUGGGCGUAAAGCGCACGCAGGCGGUCUGUCAAGUCGGAUGUGAAAUCCCCGGGCUCAACCUGGGAACUGCAUUCGAAACUGGCAGGCUUGAGUCUUGUAGAGGGGGGUAGAAUUCCAGGUGUAGCGGUGAAAUGCGUAGAGAUCUGGAGGAAUACCGGUGGCGAAGGCGGCCCCCUGGACAAAGACUGACGCUCAGGUGCGAAAGCGUGGGGAGCAAACAGGAUUAGAUACCCUAGUAGUCCCAUGAU
Molecule: ribosomal RNA, 481 nt
Filed under: uncultured organism
Description: partial 16S ribosomal RNA
Rfam family: Bacterial small subunit ribosomal RNA
Source: RNAcentral